This 107-nucleotide small nuclear RNA is filed under the name Prolemur simus (greater bamboo lemur). Lineage: Eukaryota; Metazoa; Chordata; Mammalia; Primates; Lemuridae. The record is from RNAcentral.
GUGCUUGCUUCGGCAGCAUAUACACUAAAAUUGGAAUGAUACAGAGAAGAUUAGCAUGGCCCCUGUGCAAAGAUGACACGCAAACUCAUGAAGCAUUCCAUAUUUUA